RNAcentral lists this ribosomal RNA (497 nucleotides) under uncultured bacterium. RNAcentral describes it as "partial 16S ribosomal RNA". It matches the Rfam family "Bacterial small subunit ribosomal RNA", at positions 28 to 507 of the family's 1533-position model. The record is from RNAcentral.
GAUGAACGCUGGCGGCGUGCCUAAUACAUGCAAGUCGAGCGAACAGACGAGGAGCUUACUCCUCUGACGUUAGCGGCUGACGGGUGAGUAACACGUGGAUAACCUACCUAUAAGACAGGGAUAACUUCGGGAAACCGGAGCUAAUACCGGAUAACAUGUUGAACCGCAUGGUUCAACAGUGAAAGACGGUCUUGCUGUCACUUAUAGAUGGAUCCGCGGCGCAUUAGCUAGUUGGUAAGGUAACGGCUUACCAAGGCAACGAUGCGUAGCCGACCUGAGAGGGUGAUCGGCCACACUGGAACUGAGACACGGUCCAGACUACUACGGGAGGAAGCAGUAGGGAAUAUUCCGCAAUGGGCGAAAGCAUGACGGAGCAACGCCGCGUGAGUGAAGAAGGUCUUCGGAUCGUAAAACUCUGUUAUUAGGGAAGAACAAAUGUGUAAGUAACUAUGCACGUCUUGACGGUACCUAAUCAGAAAGCCACGGCUAACUACGUG